UACAGAGGUCUCAAGCGUUGUUCGGAUUCAUUGGGCGUAAAGGGUGCGUAGGCGGCGCGGUAAGUCGGGUGUGAAAUCUCGGAGCUUAACUCCGAAACUGCAUUCGAUACUGCCGUGCUUGAGGACUGGAGAGGAGACUGGAAUUUACGGUGUAGCGGUGAAAUGCGUAGAUAUCGGGAGGAACACCGGUGGCGAAGGCGGUUCUCUGGGCCUGACCUGACGCUGAGGAGCGAAAGCGUGGGGAGCGAACAGG
Molecule: ribosomal RNA, 253 nt
Filed under: uncultured bacterium
Lineage: Bacteria
Description: partial 16S ribosomal RNA
Rfam family: Bacterial small subunit ribosomal RNA
Source: RNAcentral